Molecule: ribosomal RNA, 400 nt
Filed under: uncultured bacterium
Lineage: Bacteria
Description: bacterial SSU rRNA
Rfam family: Bacterial small subunit ribosomal RNA
Source: RNAcentral
UCGAGAAUCUUCCGCAAUGGGCGAAAGCCUGACGGAGCGAUGUCGCGUGAUGGAUGAAGUGCUUUGGUACGUAAACAUCUUUUAUAGGGGAGGAAGUCAUUGACGUUACCCUAUGAAUAAGGGGCUCCUAACUCUGUGCCAGCAGGAGCGGUAAUACAGAGGCCCCAAGCGUUACCCGGAAUUACUGGGCGUAAAGGGUGUGUAGGUGGUCGUAUUAGUCGUUCGUCAAAUCCCGGGGCUUAACUCCGGAACUGCGGGCGAAACGGUACGACUCGAGGGCGCGAGAGGUAUGUGGAACUCAUGGUGUAGGGGUGAAAUCCGUUGAUAUCAUGGGGAACACCGAAAGCGAAGGCAGCAUACUGGCGCGUUCCUGACACUGAGACACGAAAGCGUGGGUCGC